GGAUUAGAUACCCUGGUAGUCCACGCCCUAAACGAUGUCAACUAGACGUUGGGUUCAUCUGGAACUUAGUGUCGAAGCUAACGCGUUAAGUUGACCGCCUGGGGAGUACGGCCGCAAGGUUGAAACUCAAAGGAAUUGACGGGGGCCCGCACAAGCGGUGGAGCAUGUGGUUUAAUUCGAUGCAACGCGAAGAACCUUACCAGCCCUUGACAUCCUGGGAAUCUCUAAGAGAUUAGAGAGUGCCUUCGGGAAUCCAGUGACAGGUGCUGCAUGGCUGUCGUCAGCUCGUGCUG
RNAcentral lists this ribosomal RNA (293 nucleotides) under uncultured bacterium. Its description in RNAcentral is "partial 16S ribosomal RNA". It matches the Rfam family "Bacterial small subunit ribosomal RNA", at positions 775 to 1067 of the family's 1533-position model. The record is from RNAcentral.